RNAcentral lists this ribosomal RNA (592 nucleotides) under Macrophthalmus japonicus. RNAcentral's name for it is "partial 16S ribosomal RNA". Lineage: Eukaryota; Metazoa; Arthropoda; Malacostraca; Decapoda; Macrophthalmidae. The record is from RNAcentral.
UGUAAAUAGCUUGUUUAAAGUUUGGGGAAUAUAGAAGGGAGUUAAGAAAAAUAAUUUUUAUAAUUUUAGUAAUUUUUAAUGAAAAUUAAGUAAAGACUAAAGAGAAAAGUACUGUGAAGGAAAGUUGUUGAGAUUUUAUAUAGAAAAAGUAAAAUUUUGUGCCUCGUGUAUCAGAAAAAAUUUAUAUAAUUUAGUUAAUGGUAAGUAUCUCGAAAUAAAAUAUAGUAAUUUUUAUAAAAUUUUCUUUUUAGAAAAAAAGAAUUUAAUAUAAAAUUUAAAGUGAAAUGCUAGCUGAGUUUUAUGAUAUCUAGUUUUUUAAAAAAUAAAUUUAAUUUAAUUUUUACGAAGAAAGAAUUGUAAAAUUAAAUGGUAGGGGGGAUUAGCUCUUUACGGAAAAGUCAAUGAAAUAGGUAGAUAUAAAGAAAUUAUAUAAAUUAGGCUUAGAAGUAGCUAUAUUGAAAAAGUGUUUUAACUAAAUUAUAAUUACUUGAAUAUUUAAGAUAACUUUUGUUAGGUAUUAAAAAAACGGUUUAAACAAAAUAAAACGAAAUAUAAUGAUUUUAUUAGUAAAAUUUAUUAAGUAAAUAAAAAU